This is a long non-coding RNA of Salvia splendens (bonfire salvia), 3575 nucleotides long. RefSeq lists it as uncharacterized. NCBI's taxonomy places the organism in Eukaryota, Viridiplantae, Streptophyta, Magnoliopsida, Lamiales, Lamiaceae. The transcript is spliced from 6 exons. The record is from RefSeq and is a predicted model, not a curated record.
CACUAGGCCCAGAUUUGCUUUCACAUUUUGGAAACCCUAACAAUGAAGAAGACGUAGUGUCUCCUUCCUCUUAUCGUCCCCGAGGAAAAUUGUCCUCAGGCGGCAUCCUCUCGUCCCUCCGACGCCUAUUCACUUCCUAAUGGUGAGACUUCUCCAGUCACUAAUUGAUUCAUCUUCCCGACGAAUUGGCAGCGGGUUCUCAAUAUCUUAUCGACGACAUCUCAUUCCUACCAACUCUUCACAGCGGCUUGCUCCGCCUUCGUCCUCAGCAAUUAUCUCCUUGAUUCGGAGAUUGAAUCGUUUGGUCGUGUUGGCCUCUGUCAAGCUUCAUACCCUCAACUACUUCCAACUCAUUGAACAGUGUCUUCCCAUCUUGAAUUGUGAUGACACCCACUUUUCCAACUUUUCCCGACCUUUGCAAUCAGCUCAUCAAUUUCCCUUUCUCCAUUAGCAGAAAUAGUUCCAACCUGAGCAUUCUCCUCCUAUGUGCUUUUCAAUCAUCCUUGCUCUGCUUUUCAAGUUUGUAACAACAUCAACAGCCAUGGUUAUGCCACGUCUUAGAUCCAUAGCGUUCAUGCCAGCUACCACUGACUUGCAACCUUUUCAUCACAGCAGAUUUCCUCGUUGAUUUCUGCCAAGCCUCGAAUCACGGCUGCACGCACCACUAUGGCUGGUAGAAUUGGAGACAAUCUUCCGGUAGUGUAUUUCCUCUCCCCCUCUACCGGAUAAUUCUUCGACUGCUUCGACUCCUUUAAUCUUCUCUUCUUGGUGACAACCUGUACAUCGACGCCAAUACACUUCCGAAGGCGUAAACAUCAGUCAUCUCUCCUCCUUCCGACGAGCUGCCUCCUUCUGGUUUCUUCGGCUGUGGUAGUCCUCUCCCCCUCGGAUGGACAAACCGAGGAUUACUCCUCUAUUUUCUUCUCUUGACUGCUGUAGUUUUAUAUUCGGCUACAAUCACCCUUCUUCUCCGGGCAUGGUUGCUCAUGGUUGGCCGCUGGCUGGAUGAUUCCUUAAACUUGUAUUUCGUACUUCAGAAUCUGAUUCCGCCUUCUUCUUUAAUGCUGGAUCAGGGGCAGUCUCAUCCUUUUUAUCAUUUUCCUCAGCAACUCUACUAGUUCCAACGCCUUGGCAGGGUCAGAGUUCUCCUUAGAACCGUCAUGCGCUCCGCCAUCGGCAUCCAAUCGACUUUUUAUUGCUAGUCCUCCGUUGGCUCCUCUGCCGCUUUGACAAGAGAUCUCGGCCAUCAUCACGUUGCUGUUGUCGGGGUCUCCGUUGCUUGCGGUCUGUGCCGUCGUCUAUCCCUGCUACCGUUCGCCGUCGGCUGGAGCUGAGCAGCCGCUGCUGGAGCUUGCCCGGGUAACCCCGUUGCUGCUGCCCGGAUUAGUUCGGGCAGCCACUGGAAUGGGCCGCGAAUUCCUUGGCAUAGUCCUUAGCCCUGUUGUAGAUCAGCUUCCUGUUUGCAGACUUCUUUUCCUCAGUGCUGCGGCCUCCUGCUUUUUAACCAAGGCCCAUUCCUCAGCUCUCUUCUGUUUCUUCAAAACAGACUCCAGAACAAUUUGUCCUCCCUUUUCGACCAUCCUACCUUGAGAAUGAUGGAGCGGCGCUGCUGCUGAUGGAUGAAUAUCAAUGAUAAUUUUUUUUUGUAUGUGUUUUUUUUUGGUUUUGAACAAACUAACAAAGGAUUGUUAGUUGCUCUUGCUCCCUCGACGUCCUCAUCGUGCAGAUGACUUUUGAACCCAAAAUUUUUCAUAGCUGUUUGGUAUACUUGGGCAUAUUCUCGGCUGUAAAUUUGGUAGGGUUUUGGAUAUUUUUUUUUACUAUAGAGACAGAUUGAUCCAUACAAGGGAUCGAACCUGCUCUGAUACCAUAUUGAAAAGUAAAAUGCGGAAAAUAAAAAACCGAAGAACUCUUGAAGACUACAUUUUGAUAGAUUUGAAUUAUUCAUUGAGAUACCUUCUACAUGGCUAUUUAUAGGACUCUAGAUAUAAAUAUACCUAGAAACCAUACUCAUUGAAACUCUACAUUGUCAAUGUUAUUCUCUUCCCAACAUACUUGGGACUCACAUGUUCUCUUUCCAACAAUUGUGACAGGCAAAGGCAAGAAUUUAGGAGGACGAAAGGGAAAUGCCUGGUCUGGGGAAAAGCACCAUCCAAGAUUGUUGCCUCGUACACAACUACUACCGGUCAAACAAAGAACAGCCUUUUACUUUUACUGACAUCAGGAUGGUAAGUCAUGCUCCAAAUACAUUACAUGUAAAAGUAGGCUCCAAACACAACGAUUACCGGUCAGACAAUGACCUAUCCUUGUACACUUAAUGUUGGUUGCGGUGUAUUGCUUCAUAUCACCUUUCCACAUUAGCUUCAGGCUACACAAUCAUCAGCUCAAAAUAUUUCACUACAUGAUGAUCUGGAACAUGGGUUGAUCAAAACUAAAUACGUAAAGAAAUAAAAAAAAAGUAUAUUAUGCUUCGACACGUGGGGCUUAGCUCGUCACUUCCAUUAUGUGCCGGAAAUCCUGGGAGCCUUCUUCUAAACCGUACCAGCUCUGUUCGACCAUUUUCUCCCAUACUUUUAUGUGGUGUUCCUUAUGAUUCUUCUUUUUGACCAAGCUAAGAAGGAUGAUGACAGAUGCAAAACAAAGUAUGGCAAGUACUGGAAGCUGUAUUGCGACAAGGUCCCUAGCAGGAUUAUACCUGGAAUUUACUUCAUUCCCAAUGUACGCGAAGCUUGAAGAUUAUUUAAGACACUAAAUUUAUAGCAUCUGGGAAUUCGCGCUUUGAGUAUUGGCAACAAAAGAGGAGUGGAGGUAGAUUGAAACUGCUAGGCGUUGGUGUGCUAAGUUCCAUUCAAAGGGGAAGCAUAAUACUUCAAGCAGAAGGGACAAUUGAAUGAGGAAAAGAAGGUAUGAAGGGACUGAGCUUAGGCCUAAUGGAAAAGAAGGUAUGAAGGGACAAUUGAAUGAGGAAACACCUUCAAAUGCAACUACACAGAAGGCAGCUGCAGCCAAGCAGUAUAUUGAAAAUCAUUACAAGGAACAAAUGAAGAACUUGCUAGAAAGGAGAGAGCGACAUGAACUUCAUGGGAUACACCUACAAGAACUUUGAAAUCGUAAAUUAUCAUCUUAUGCUUGCUUUGUCAGAAUUGUCAAUGUAUAUCUUUCUCAAUGUGCUAGUUGAACUGAAGAAGAAGAGCAACAAGCCUAAGAGACCUACUGUGAAUUCCCUUUUCAGUACAAUACUGACUAGAAAAAACAAGGUUAGGCGGCCUUAUAUUUUCUUUUUACUCAAUCUACAAAUGGAAGUUUCAUAAACCUGCUACCUUCCAAAUCAAAUAUGUCAAGCAUUUCUGGAUAGGUUCAUUUAGGCUGUCUUCCAUCUUCUUGUCCAUGACGACAGUGACGAAGGCAGUUUUCGAGCUACUAUAUUUUCUUGAUUGUGUAAAUCAUUCCCUCACUGUACAUAUCUGAUACUCCAUCUCCCUCUUUACUCCUCACAAAGGAUGAAUAUGAUGUAUUCUUUUUUUGUUUCAACCUGUAUAAACUACUCCCGCGCGAAUAGGAGUCCUGUUUUUCCA